CCCUUGGUAGUCUAGUUGGUUAUGGCGUUCGGCUGUAAUUGUUACGAUUGUUACCGAAAAGUCACCGGUUCGAUUCCGGUCCGAGGGA
This 88-nucleotide transfer RNA is filed under the name Hypoxylon rubiginosum. RNAcentral's name for it is "tRNA-Tyr". It matches the Rfam family "tRNA". From Rfam's summary of the family: Transfer RNA (tRNA) molecules are approximately 80 nucleotides in length. Their secondary structure includes four short double-helical elements and three loops (D, anti-codon, and T loops). RNAcentral also lists the same sequence under 1 other name. Lineage: Eukaryota; Fungi; Ascomycota; Sordariomycetes; Xylariales; Hypoxylaceae. The record is from RNAcentral.